CACGUAUUGCUGAAGCCUGGCUUGGAGAAUUUUGAGCAUUACUUUAAACUUAUUUGAGAAAUAGAUUUGAGAAAUAGAUUUUUCUUAUGGUCCACCAGAAAUCUACCUCUGAGGUAUCUUCUUGAUGAAGACUCUUCUAGAGGUUGAAAAGUUUUCAUGAAGUUAAUACCUUUAGGCUCUCAGAAAUGCUUGGGAGAUGUCAUGAAAAUGUGCCUUUUCAAAGUUUACAAAAUUCAGAUUUUGCACUAUAAUUUAUCCAAAAUUUUUAUGAGGAUUUUAGCAUUUUCCAAGUAUUGUAAUUAACUCACAACUGGGAAAUCAUUAUUUCUGUAGAUGAAUAUAAGUUGUUAAAAUGUUCUUUUGACAUUCUUCCUCACGAAGUACCUUAUUUGCAAAAAUCCCAGUGUAUAAUGACUCAUGCGUUGCAAUCUGCUUUCAUGUGGCCACGCUCCUGGAGUAGAGCAGUGACAUGUGACCCCAAACUUGAUGUGAAAAAUCCCCAAGACUGCUUUAGAAUGCAGUUAUAUACAUAUGAUGAGGAUGAAUCUCUUUUUCUCUUUUUUUCUGUCCUCCAGCAGGGUUGCCAGAGGAUGAUUUCCUUUAAAAUAAAGCUUGUCAUUUACAGUUGAACAAACACUUUUAUGUACAUUAUUAAACUAAAAUUCUCAUAUUGUAUUACUACCGUGGGAUGCAUUAUAUUUGGACAGGAGACCAGCAGAUUUCUUUUCCAAGAUUUUGUUUGGAUUCAGUUCAGUUCAGUUCAGUUCAGUUCAGUUCAGUCGCUCAGUCGUGUCCGACUCUUUGCGACCCCAUGAAGCACAGCACGCCAGGCCUUCCUGUCCAUCACCAACUCCCAGAGUACACUCAGAUUCACGUCCAUCGACUCAGUGAUGCCAUCCAGCCUUCUCAUCCUCUGUUGUCCCCUUCUCCUCCU
This 934-nucleotide long non-coding RNA is filed under the name Capra hircus (goat). RNAcentral describes it as "lncRNA (ENSCHIG00010005833.1)". The record is from RNAcentral. Lineage: Eukaryota; Metazoa; Chordata; Mammalia; Artiodactyla; Bovidae.